AUUGAACGCUGGCGGCAGGCCUAACACAUGCAAGUCGAACGAGUGGCGGACGGGAGAGUAAUGUAUGGGAAACUGCCCGAUGGAGGGGGAUAACUGCUGGAAACGGUCGCUAAUAACGCCAACCCUCGGAUGCGCCCAGAUGGGAGUGGCUAGUAGGUGGGGUAACGGCUCACCUAGGCGACGAUCCCUAGCUGGUCUGAGAGGAUGACCAGCCACACUGGAACUGAGACACGGUCCAGACUCCUACGGGAGGCAGCAGUGGGGAAUAUUGCACAAUGGGCGCAAGCCUGAUGCAGCCAUGCCGCGUGUAUGAAGAAGGCCUUCGGGUUGUAAAGUACUUUCAGCGAGGAGGCGUUACUCGCAGAAGAAGCACCGGCUAACUCCGUGCCAGCAGCCGCGGUAAUUC
This 406-nucleotide ribosomal RNA is filed under the name uncultured bacterium. RNAcentral's name for it is "partial 16S ribosomal RNA". It matches the Rfam family "Bacterial small subunit ribosomal RNA", at positions 30 to 526 of the family's 1533-position model. The record is from RNAcentral.